UAGGGAAUCUUCCACAAUGGACGCAAGUCUGAUGGAGCAACGCCGCGUGAGUGAAGAAGGUUUUCGGAUCGUAAAGCUCUGUUGUUGGUGAAGAAGGAUAGAGGCAGUAACUGGUCUUUAUUUGACGGUAAUCAACCAGAAAGUCACGGCUAACUACGUGCCAGCAGCCGCGGUAAUACGUAGGUGGCAAGCGUUGUCCGGAUUUAUUGGGCGUAAAGCGAGCGCAGGCGGAAUGAUAAGUCUGAUGUGAAAGCCCACGGCUCAACCGUGGAACUGCAUCGGAAACUGUCAUUCUUGAGUGCAGAAGAGGAGAGUGGAAUUCCAUGUGUAGCGGUGGAAUGCGUAGAUAUAUGGAAGAACACCAGUGGCGAAGGCGGCUCUCUGGUCUGCAACUGACGCUGAGGCUCGAAAGCAUGGGUAGCGAACAGA
This 429-nucleotide ribosomal RNA is filed under the name bacterium. RNAcentral's name for it is "partial 16S ribosomal RNA". It matches the Rfam family "Bacterial small subunit ribosomal RNA", at positions 355 to 776 of the family's 1533-position model. The record is from RNAcentral.